CAGCACCUCAAGUGGUCAGGAUGAUUAUUGGGCCUAAAGCAUCCGUAGCCGGCGCUGUAAGUUUUCGGUUAAAUCUGUACGCUCAACGUACAGGCUGCCGGGAAUACUGCAGCGCUAGGGAGUGGGAGAGGUAGACGGUACUCGGUAGGAAGGGGUAAAAUCCUUCGAUCUAUUGAUGACCACCUGUGGCGAAGGCGGUCUACCAGAACACGUCCGACGGUGAGGGAUGAAAGCUGGGGGAACAAACCGGAUUAGAUACCCGAGUAGUCC
Molecule: ribosomal RNA, 270 nt
Filed under: uncultured archaeon
Lineage: Archaea
Description: partial 16S ribosomal RNA
Rfam family: Archaeal small subunit ribosomal RNA
Source: RNAcentral